AAGUCGUAACAAGGUUUCCGUAGGUGAACCUGCGGAAGGAUCAUUACCAAUUUUAAAAUCUUCCAACCCAUGUGCACUAUGAUGAUUGUCUUGGUUUUUGGGGUGGAGCUGUUACUACGGUCGUCACCCCAACCAAUUUUCUAAACUACUUUUAUUAUUGUCUUGGCAUCAAAAUUGUCUAUAAUAAUUAUUAUGACAACUUUUAACGGUGGAUCUCUUGGCUCGUGGA
This 229-nucleotide unclassified non-coding RNA is filed under the name fungal sp. RNAcentral's name for it is "partial internal transcribed spacer region". The stretch from base 1 to 46 matches the Rfam family "Eukaryotic small subunit ribosomal RNA", at positions 1786 to 1831 of the family's 1831-position model. The record is from RNAcentral. Lineage: Eukaryota; Fungi.